UCCUUUGAUUUUGGGGAAAAUAAAAAUAAUUCACUCUGAUAAUACAUGCUAGUAAAUGCUAAAGGCGAGAAAAAAAGGAAAUUAUUCCUUGUUGUAUUAGGAAUUUUAGAUUAAACACUACAAUGCCUAUAAUGCGUAGCAAACGCCGCAACUGUACUGAAACAAGGACGGAGCAUGAAAAUGGCAGCAGUAGAGAAAUUUGUACAAUUUACUAUUAGUUAGAUACAGCAAGUGAAAUUAAUCCUGUCAAAUUACGUGCCAGCCGACGCGGUAAAACGUAAAUGGAUAAAUUUAUAUUUUAAUACUAAUAUUUUUACCAUAAAAUUCUGAUAGAAUAAACAUGUAAGAGUAAAAUCUUAACAUAUGAUUUAAAUCUUAAGAGCUAAAGCAAUUAGAUAAAAUUACAAAAUAUUAAGGCUUGGGGAGUAAACUGGAUUAGAUACCCAGGUAAUCCAAGCAGUAAAUAGUGAUAUAAUAUCACAAUAUCGAACAGUAGGACCGCAAGGUUGAAAAUCAAAAAAUUUGGCUGUUUACCAUCCGCUUAGAGGAGCGUGAGAAUUAAUACGAUAAUCCGCGUUUAUCACACCCAUUUUUGAAUACUACAGGUACUGCAUGGCCGUCGUCAGUUUAUAAUUAAAUUUAUAAACACAACUCAUUAGAAUGAAGUCAGGUAGUAUGGUCCUUAUAAAUGGGGUCCCCUUGCGCUACAAUCUUUAUUACACUCAUUCUAAAACUUAUAUAUCAGUAAAGUGUUGAAAUACACUUGGAAGGAGUAUUUAAGAGUAAUCGAAAAAUAGCAUGUUUCGGUGAACAGGUCUCUGGUAUUAGCACAAAUCGCCCGUCACCUUAGCUUAUAAUAAUAUGUUAAACAACUAUACAGUUAAUAACAGUUUAAAAGGCAGAGCAAGUCGUAACAUAGUGAGGGUAGGGGAACCUGUCCUUGAGAAUUU
RNAcentral lists this ribosomal RNA (950 nucleotides) under Linuche unguiculata. RNAcentral describes it as "small subunit ribosomal RNA". It matches the Rfam family "Bacterial small subunit ribosomal RNA". Lineage: Eukaryota; Metazoa; Cnidaria; Scyphozoa; Coronatae; Linuchidae. The record is from RNAcentral.